Molecule: ribosomal RNA, 256 nt
Filed under: Hygophum hygomii
Lineage: Eukaryota; Metazoa; Chordata; Actinopteri; Myctophiformes; Myctophidae
Description: partial 28S ribosomal RNA
Rfam family: Eukaryotic large subunit ribosomal RNA
Source: RNAcentral
UUUAUCUGGUAAAGCGAAUGAUUAGAGGUCUUGGGGCCGAAACGAUCUCAACCUAUUCUCAAACUUUAAAUGGGUAAGAGGCCCGGCUCGCCGACUCGGAGCCGGGCGUGGAAUGCGAGCGCCCAGUGGGCCACUUUUGGUAAGCAGAACUGGCGCUGCGGGAUGAACCGAACGCCGGGUUAAGGCGCCCGAUGCCGACGCUCAUCAGACCCCACAAAAGGUGUUGGUUGAUAUAGACAGCAGGACGGUGGCCAUG